This 394-nucleotide ribosomal RNA is filed under the name uncultured bacterium. RNAcentral's name for it is "bacterial SSU rRNA". It matches the Rfam family "Bacterial small subunit ribosomal RNA", at positions 28 to 424 of the family's 1533-position model. The record is from RNAcentral.
GACGAACGCUGGCGGCGUGCUUAACACAUGCAAGUCGAACGGAGUUAUGUUUUCGGAUGUAACUUAGUGGCGAACGGGUGAGUAACGCGUGAGGAACCUGCCUUUCAGUGGGGGACAACAGUUGGAAACGACUGCUAAUACCGCAUGACACUACCGAGUGGCAUCACUUGGUAGUCAAAGAUUUAUUGCUGAAAGAUGGCCUCGCGUCUGAUUAGCUAGUUGGUGGGGUAACGGCCCACCAAGGCGACGAUCAGUAGCCGGACUGAGAGGUUGACCGGCCACAUUGGGACUGAGAUACGGCCCAGACUCCUACGGGAGGCAGCAGUGGGGAAUAUUGGGGCAAUGGGCGAAAGCCUGACCCAGCAACGCCGCGUGAAGGAAGAAGGCCUCGGUU